This 59-nucleotide transfer RNA is filed under the name Ictidomys tridecemlineatus (thirteen-lined ground squirrel). RNAcentral's name for it is "Spermophilus tridecemlineatus (thirteen-lined ground squirrel) tRNA". It matches the Rfam family "tRNA", at positions 7 to 64 of the family's 71-position model. Rfam says of the family: Transfer RNA (tRNA) molecules are approximately 80 nucleotides in length. Their secondary structure includes four short double-helical elements and three loops (D, anti-codon, and T loops). Further hydrogen bonds mediate the characteristic L-shaped molecular structure. tRNAs have two regions of fundamental functional importance: the anti-codon, which is responsible for specific mRNA codon recognition, and the 3' end, to which the tRNAs corresponding amino acid is attached (by aminoacyl-tRNA synthetases). tRNAs cope with the degeneracy of the genetic code in two manners: having more than one tRNA (with a specific anti-codon) for a particular amino acid; and 'wobble' base-pairing, i.e. permitting non-standard base-pairing at the 3rd anti-codon position. Lineage: Eukaryota; Metazoa; Chordata; Mammalia; Rodentia; Sciuridae. The record is from Rfam by way of RNAcentral.
GUAGCUCAGUGGUAGAGCGCUUGCCUAGCAAGUAUGAAGCACUGGGUUCGAUCCUUAGC